GACGAACGCUGGCGGCGUGCCUAAUACAUGCAAGUCGAACGAGAGCGACCGGUGCUUGCACUGGUCAAUCUAGUGGCGCGCGGGUGAGUAACACGUGGGUAACCUGCUCAUCAGAGGGGGAUAACAUCCGGAAACGGAUGCUAACACCGCAUAGGUCUUCGAGCCGCAUGGCUUGAAGAGGAAAAGAGGCGCAAGCUUCUGCUGAUGGAUGGACCCGCGGUGCAUUAGCUAGUUGGUGAGGUAACGGCUCACCAAGGCCGUGAUGCAUAGCCGACCUGAGAGGGUGAUCGGCCACAUUGGGACUGAGACACGGCCCAAACUCCUACGGGAGGCAGCAGUAGGGAAUCUUCCGCAAAGGACGCAAGUCUGACGGAGCAACGCCGCGUGAGUGAAGAAGGUGUUCGGAUCGUAAAACUCUGUUGUUAGAGAAGAACAAGUGCUAGAGUAACUGUUAGCGCCUUGACGGUAUCUAACCAGAAAGCCACGGCUAACUACGUG
RNAcentral lists this ribosomal RNA (498 nucleotides) under uncultured bacterium. RNAcentral's name for it is "partial 16S ribosomal RNA". It matches the Rfam family "Bacterial small subunit ribosomal RNA", at positions 28 to 507 of the family's 1533-position model. The record is from RNAcentral.